CCUACGGGAGGCAGCAGUGAGGAAUAUUGGUCAAUGGACGAGAGUCUGAACCAGCCAAGUAGCGUGAAGGAUGACUGCCCUAUGGGUUGUAAACUUCUUUUAUAUGGGAAUAAAACGUUCCACGUGUGGGAUUUUGUAUGUACCAUAUGAAUAAGGAUCGGCUAACUCCGUGCCAGCAGCCGCGGUAAUACGGAGGAUCCGAGGGUUAUCCGGAUUUAUUGGGUGUAAAGGGAGCGUAGGUGGAUUGUUAAGUCAGUUGUGAAAGUUUGCGGCUCAACCGUAAAAUUGCAGUUGAAACUGGCAGUCUUGAGUACAGUAGAGGUGGGCGGAAUUCGUGGUGUAGCGGUGAAAUGCUUAGAUAUCACGAAGAACUCCGAUUGCGAAGGCAGUUCACUGGACUGCAACUGACACUGAGGCUCGAAAGUGUGGGUAUCAAACAGGAUUAGAUACCCUGGUAGUC
This 460-nucleotide ribosomal RNA is filed under the name uncultured bacterium. RNAcentral's name for it is "partial 16S ribosomal RNA". It matches the Rfam family "Bacterial small subunit ribosomal RNA", at positions 338 to 795 of the family's 1533-position model. The record is from RNAcentral.